AUUGAACGCUGGCGGCAGGCCUAACACAUGCAAGUCGAACGAGUGGCGGACGGGUGAGUAAUGCCUGGGAAACUGGCUGAUGGAGGGGGAUAACUACUGGAAACGGUAGCUAAUACCGCAUACCAUCGGAUGUGCCCAGAGGGGAUUAGCUAGUUGGUGGGGUAAAGGCUCACCUAGGCGACGAUCCCUAGCUGGUCUGAGAGGAUGACCAGCCACACUGGGACUGAGACACGGCCCAGACUCCUACGGGAGGCAGCAGUGGGGAAUAUUGCGCAAUGGGCGCAAGCCUGACGCAGCCAUGCCGCGUGUAUGAAGAAGGCCUUCGGGUUGUAAAGUACUUUCAGCGGCGAGGCGUUAACCGCAGAAGAAGCACCGGCUAACUCCGUGCCAGCAGCCGCGGUAAUAC
RNAcentral lists this ribosomal RNA (406 nucleotides) under uncultured bacterium. RNAcentral describes it as "partial 16S ribosomal RNA". It matches the Rfam family "Bacterial small subunit ribosomal RNA", at positions 30 to 526 of the family's 1533-position model. The record is from RNAcentral.